UUUGAAGUGAAUUUCCCUUUCUUUUCUUUUUUUUUCCUUUCCUCUCCUUUCCUUUUCUUCUAUUUUCCUUUUCUUUUCUUCCCACGUUUUCUGUCCAAUUUCCUUUCUUUUCAUCUUUUUCUUCUAUCUUCCUUUUCCUCUUUCUUUCUCCUUCCACGUCUCAUUUCUUCUUCUCCCUUCAAUUUUCUUCUUCUCCCAUAACCUUGAAUAAGCCAUCAGCCGUCAAGCACAGUAACCUAAAGAUCCAAGUCAGCGCCAGGGACAGCUUAGAGGUAUCAUUAUUGAUUUUUAUUUGUCGGGUUGUUAUCGAUUUUGUUGGAACAUAUUGUGAAAUGCAAAUUAGGUUAUUCGAUUGUUAUAAAUUCGUUUAUUGGGUUUCUAUCAAUUCAUUUAUUGGUUUACAGUGGAAUAUAUGAGAUCUACAAUAAAGUGAGGGUUUAAACUCCAUUGAAAAUGUUAUGGAUUCAAAAUUAUCAAAAUGUUUUGAGUCAAUUCAUUUAGUGGGUUGUAGUGGAAUAUUUGAGAUCUACAGUAAAGUGAAGGUUCAAACUCGAUUGAAAAUGUUAUGGGUUCCAAAUUAUCAUAAUAUUUUGUGUCCCGAACUUCUGAUUAAUAUUGUGCUUCAACCAAUUUAUGAGAUGCAAUUGUUGUUCUGUAACUUCAUUUUGUCUUUGUUCUGUGUAUCCCUUUUGGCUCUGGUUUCCAUUGAACCUUAUUCUGCCACAUUAUCUUUAUGGCACGUACUAUAAAAUGCUUAUUCAACUGUUUUAACUUACUACUUUAUUGAUCAAAACUCUGCAAUAAAGAAACUGUCUCAAUUCUCAUUCAGCCCGAAUCCCGCUGUUAGUUUUUACUUAUAAAAAUAAUAUAACCAAAACUCUUCAUAAAGCAAUGUUUAGUCAGGGAAAUUAUAUGCAAAAAUUGACUUACUAGUACUGUUCUUGCCGCAGCACUUCACUUAGUUAAGGAUAGUUAAUUGAGUUUGAAAAGUGAAAAUUCAAUUAUCAAUUUUGUCUUGUUAAAUAAAGGGCAUGAUGAGUCUUUCUGUAAUUCCAUUGAUUUGACAUUAUUUGAAUACCAAAAGCUAAAGAAUUGCUUUAUAGUUGCAACUUAACUUCUACAUAUAUGCCCUCUCCUUUACAGUUAGGCCAGUGCCCAUGAGAACUCUGUACCUUGUGGUCCCAGAUAAUUGGAAGCCAGAGUCAACCAAUUACUGUUGGUUUUUCCAAAAGUGCUUAUUUCUUGUUACGUGAACGAGUAAUAACAAAAUUAUUAAGGAAAACUAUAUUGCAAAUACACGUAUAAUUGGGCUUGCUUGAGUUAAUAAGGAUCACGCGGUCGAUAGAACUUCGAGAAGUCAAGCUAGAGUUGAAGAACUAUGGGAAUCAGUUUAGUCUUGAGGCAUCACUCACGUCGAUAGAACUACGAGAAGUGAAGCUUGAGUCUUAUUUUACUAAAGUGUUAGAUCCAUGUACAAAUUCAUAUUUGGCUUUUCAUUUAAUCUAGUUAGAUUGACCAUCUAGUUAUUCCAUUAAGGCAUUGAUGCAAAAUUUUCAGCAAUUUUGGUUUGUUUUUGUACUAUAUAUUUAUUGUUCAUUUUAUUUUUUAUUUUUUUUUAUUUUUUUUGCACUCUGUCUUCCCCCCAUAUUUUAAUUCCGAAUGAAGUUCUUCGAUUGGAAAUCUCUGUAGAAAAGAAUAGGGAUUUUACGAAAUGAACUAUUAUAGUUUCAAAUCCUCAUCGAAAUUGAAAAUAUAUUGCAAAGUUAGAAAAAAAAUAAGAUUUUUAAAUUGGGUGAAAGGAUUUUAUUUAUUUUUUAUCUGUCCCCUCUCCCUUCUCCCUCCUCCAUUAUUUUUUGGGUCUUAUUAUCAGUCUACUUCCAUUUUUAAUCUUUAUAGGGAAAACACCAGAUUGGGAAGACUUUGUUGGGAUUAUUACUCUUCUGGUCAUUAACUCAACCAUCAGUUUCAUAGAGGAGAGAAAUGCUUUUAAUGACUUUCCUUGUCUGCUAUUUGUUAUUGUUGAGCAGGGAGAAUUAAUUUUAGUUAAUUAUGAUUUGAAUUCAAAGAGUUGCUGGAGUUUGUGAUUUAAGUUAAUAUUGAUUUAGUGUUUCUCUUGUCCUUUUUGUUGGUUAGUUAUAUAUUUGGUUCCUGAUUCAUAAUUUUGUGAUCUCUGAAUACAUUCUGUUUUUUAACUUUAUUUGCUAGAGGGACAAGGAAGACAAUAAAUUCUCAGCUAUGGCAUGCUUGUGCUGGUCCAUUGGUUUCCUUGCCUCAGGUUGGUAGUCUCGUACACUAUUUGAUAAGGAGCACCAAUUUGGUGAAGAUCAGCUGCAUAUCUAAUUCACGAGAAUGUAGAGAUGUAUUUUUUAGGUGCAUAAUAAUAGAUAUAGAGCAUUUGCUAUACUAUUUUUAAGUUUAGAUGUAAUUAUAUUUGGUGAAUGAUUUUUAUUUGUGUUUUGAUGAAAUAUUUUGGAUUCAAUGUUAUAUUGACAAUUCUUAAUUAAUUUAUUGUUUUUUUGUAUCUUUAUAUUAUUUUGAAUAAAGUAGUAUAGUUUAAUUUUUCCAUA
This 2567-nucleotide long non-coding RNA is filed under the name Olea europaea subsp. europaea. Lineage: Eukaryota; Viridiplantae; Streptophyta; Magnoliopsida; Lamiales; Oleaceae. The record is from RNAcentral.